Pezoporus flaviventris is the source of this 2338-nucleotide long non-coding RNA. RefSeq lists it as uncharacterized. The record is from RefSeq and is a predicted model, not a curated record. Lineage: Eukaryota; Metazoa; Chordata; Aves; Psittaciformes; Psittacidae. The transcript has 4 exons.
GAGAAAAAUGACUGCUACUGCUGAACCCAGGACACAGUUAACCAUAAUUUCACAUGAAAUCUGUAUUGAGAUCGCAAAAAUGUUAUGUCCCAUGAAAGGGAAAAGGAAAAUAAUAAGGAUUUUCUUUUUACAGUAGAACUAAACGCUCACUGGAAAAUAUUAUAUGCUUACUUCAAUAUUACUGCUAUUUUUCAUACUGCCUAGCAGAAGUUAAGGGUGCAUCUUCAAAGCUGGCUUAGGCCAGUCUAGCUGUGUCACCACAGAGAGGGCAGGCCCUUCCUCCCCCACUGCUGCCUAUUCCUUUAACAACGGGCUGAAGAGUUGUUAAUGGUGAAGCAAGGUUAGCAAGUACUGGUGCACUACAGGGAUGAAGAAGGGCAGAACAGUAUUUCAGCAGUAGUCUGAUAGUUCUGUUCAAGGUGGUUUUAAAACCCCAGGGUGAGUCUCCAUCUCAGUAAGCACUAUGCAAAAAUUCUUGCACAGAUUUUGAAAUGAGCUGGUUUUUUUUUGCUGGCUUUUGGAUUCUCUUCUCUUUUACUUUGCAGUCCUUACUGCCCAGUUUGUUACCUCAGAUUAUUUGGGACAGUGAUAAAUGUUCACUUGCUGCUGCAACUAAGAGACUUCAUAAGGAACUGGGUCCCACUGCAGGUGUUAAGUAAAACAUUUCAUCUGUUCUCAGGUCUGCAAACUGGAAUCAUAAUGCUUAGUCUUUGCUUUCUUCUCACUUAGUCUGGUUAGGAAACAAAAGCAAAAUGCUGCCUAUUUGUGUGCUGCACUAUUGCAUUCACACUCUCAUAGUCAUUGCUCUGGUUAAUCUGCUUUCUGUUUUGCUGGUUGUUUAUCACAAAUGAGUGUCUCUUAGGAGACUCAGAAGAAUGUUUUUUACCUUGUGUUUCAUUCUCUGAAUAGGAGAAUAAAAAGUGCAUGCCAGGUAAACCUAUGCUCCCUGUUCCACAUUGCCUCUCUUUUCACUGCAGCUAAUUUACGCGCAGUGAAAAGAGGAGCAGUGCUUAAGUGCUGAAGUGCUAGUGUGCUGUGGCAUUUCAGCUCCAUGUGUUUAAAGUGGCCUUUAGAUGUGCUCAAAUUUUCUGCAAAAUUCCAGCCUCUGAAGCAUCUCUUCAUCCCUGACAUUUUUUUGUUCUUAUUUUUAUAAGUGGUGUCAAUUGCUUUGCUUUGUGAUCUGUGAUAGAGAGGCAUCUGGAGUUCCAGAAUGUAAUUACCUGAAAUUAUGUUUUAUUUUGCUCACUAAAAGAAGGCUUCUAAUUUUUUGAUGCUAGGUGGUGUAUUUAUAUUUAUUUCUUUUGCUUCCUUUGUUGUUUGCAAACUAUUCUUAUGCACUGUUUCCAUGCACUGUGUUUUGUCCUGGAAAGAUAGGCAUUACAAAUUUUUGUUGCCUACAGAGAAGGGAUAAUUUUAAAGAAACAUUUUAAUGAUAGCAAGUAGACAGUGGUCUGUGCUUAAGCACAAGGACCAAUACAGGCAAAGUGUAUUGUCUCGUCUUUACUCUUCUGCAAAGAUAGAUUUUUUUUAGUAUUACUGACAAAUGCAUAGGAGAUUAACCUGUUUUCUUAAUGGUAAUUUAAAAUGAUAAUAUAAUCUGCCCUGUGUAAUGCUCUCUUACCCAGAGGAAAUGAAAACAGCUUUAGUAUGAAAAAGCAACGUCUAGUUGCCCUCACUGAUAUUACACAGCCAUUAAUGGAAGCCUUCACUAUUUCCCUCUGCAGGAGUCCCUCCUGAAGACUUUGUGUGUGGGGGCGAGACAGUUAGUUUCUGGAAAUAUGCCAUAGCUAAGGAGAGAGGGAUAGUGCUUAGAUUUUCAGUGUGCUUAGGCAAGGCCCCUCAAGGUAGUAUUUACUGUUAUGACAUCAGUGGUGUGAAGGUGGUGGAAUAUGUCAGUGCAUCCAGCCCUUUUGUUUUUUUUGGACUAAAACUGAUCUUAGUGGGGGGCACUGAAAGAAACAAGCAUGUUUUGGAAAUCCUCCAUGGGGUAGUCUUUUCAUCACCACAGCUUAGUGGUAAAGUUCUUGCUACAGCCAGGAAUAAUAAAACAGCAGGGUGCUGGUAGCUGAAUGAAAACAACAUCUAUUUUGGUAACUACUGAACUUGCUGAGGGCUUGAAAGGGAUGACAACUUUUUAUGUUAAAGACUCCCCUCAUGGCUGAUGUGCCUUCUGGAGAAGGAACAUCCAUAAGCAGCUUGGUCUGGGGCAGGCCAGUCAUUCUGCAAAGCCAACUUGUUUGCAUUUGGCAUACCCCUGGAGCAGGGGUUCUAAGAACUCCCUUUCCCAGCUGGGAAACAAAUACACAAAGCAAUUUUUACUUACUUAUUUUUAAUGAAG